AUUACAAUCAAUUUACAACCAAAAAUAAAGCCAAAAAUAAAUUACAAUAAAAAUCAAAUCAGAUCAAGCCAUGCUGACUUUGUUCACUGCCAAACCCUGUCAUGUUGAUGAUGACUGCCAUUGAUGCACAAUCCAUGCUUAUUGGUACAUCUGUUCCUGUUUUAACUAAUUUGAUUUUAAUAAGAAAAUACAAUUCAAAAUAACUAACUAUUUUUUCAUCCCAAUUUUAAUAGAGUUAGUUUACUCACUACAAAUUUCGAGGAUGAAAUUCUUUAACAAGGGGAGAAUUGUAACACCCUAAAUUUUAUAAUAAACUAUUUAAUUAGUUAAGUACGAUUUUAAAUAAUUAAUUUAAUGUUAAAAUUAUUUUAGAAUAUAUAAUGAUAAAUUUUCUGACUAAUUUUUGUUAUAUAGGUAAUUUCUAUGAUGUGCUAGUUUUAUAAAUACUAGAUUACAUGAGCGAUAUAAAUAAUAAAUAUUAUAUUUUAUUACGUGAUAUAAUUUUUAAAAAAUAAUAGUAUUUUAGUGUAAUAUAUAUUUUAAAGAAACAGAUUUUAUGUGAUUUUACGUGUAUAUAGGUGUACCCAAUUAAUGUAAUACUUUUAUGUGCGCUUAACUGAUGUUAAGUAUGCACGAAGUUAUAUUUCUAUUAUUUAUAACUAUUUUCAAUUUUUAGUUAAUUUUUUAUAAAUAAUUAUCUUGAGAUAGAAUUGAUGAUAUCGUGUUUGAUUUCGUUUAUUUUUAUAUACUUGUUAUGACAUUGUGAUUUUAUAUAUAUUUAUUAUGAUUUAGUAAUUAAUAUAAAAUAUUGAUGUUAUAUUCAUUUAUUUUAUAAUUUUUAAUAUUUUCUAAUAUGAUGGUAUUAUUAUAAUGUGAGUAUUUUGAGAAAUAAGUAUAAUUGUGUAGUACCCUAAUUUUGUCCAACUUAUUUAAAAAUAAACUAAAAAAGGAAAUAUAUAUUAAAAAAGGAAGUAAUUAUAUUUACAAUAAGUAGGUUCAUCAAUUUACAAUGUUAAAUCAAGUUAUAAUUUUUAAAUUACAAUUACAAUCAAUUUACAACCAAAAAUAAAGCCAAAAAUAAAUUACAAUAAAAAUCAAAUCAGAUCAAGCCAUGCCAGAAAGCAACUAAUCAGAUAAAAGGAAGUAAUUAUAUANNNNNNNNNNNNNNNNNNNNNNNNNNNNNNNNNNNNNNNNNNNNNNNNNNNNNNNNNNNNNNNNNNNNNNNNNNNNNNNNNNNNNNNNNNNNNNNNNNNNNNNNNNNNNNNNNNNNNNNNNNNNNNNNNNNNNNNNNNNNNNNNNNNNNNNNNNNNNNNNNNNNNNNNCAACAGAACAGAUCAAAACAAAUAAAUCAAAAUCAUGAAUGCAUCAGAGGUGUAGAAAAAACGCAGAUGAUGAGCAAAGGAAAAAAAAAAUCAAACAGGAAAUAGAUAGAGAAGGACCAAUGCAGACCAGAAAGCAACUAAACAUAUAAAAGACUCUAUAAAUACAUCUUGAAAAAUUUCAAAGAAAAAAAAUCGAACAGGAGACAGAAAAAUAACUAAAACAAAGAAGGAGAAAGAAAGAAAUUAGAGAGGACAGUAACAAACGGAAAACAACACACAACAAACGCAAAGGUACUUUUUUUAGAUAAUAAAUAUGUUUCUUCAUCUUCCACUGUACAAUAAUUUUUUUUUUAGUUCAAAAAGGGUUAGAUUUUUUUUCAUUUUGCAAAAUCAAACAUAAUGGGAAAAAUAUAGAAGAUAUAAAAUUAAAGAUUCGAACCUGUGACAUGUUGCCGUUGUCAAAACCAUCGACGUUGUGGUCGUUGUGGCCGCCAUCCCCGUUGGCGCGGUGGCCGCCGUUUGCACCAAGGUCAUCGUCGGCGUUGUGGCUGUCGUUACAGCUUUCUUGUUCCUCUUCUUUUAGUUGAUGCAUACAUUCAUAUUUCCUCCUUCUUUCAAAAUAGAGAUUGGAAUAAGGAAAGAGAAAGAUUUUGCUUUGCUGUGAAAGACCCAUGCGGCUGUCCCUCCUUCUAACUAGGGUUUCAUUUUGUUUGUUUUGGACCUCUUUUUUAAGUUAGUUUGGGCCUGGGUUAUGGGUUAAUAACCAAAAUAUAUUCAAACUCAACCCAUUUUUAUUUUACUAAUCUCAACCCAUUUUUAUUUUACUAAUCUCAAUUCAUUUUUAUUUUACUAAUAUCAAUCCAUUUAAAUUUUACUAAUCUCAACUCAUUUUUAUUUUACUAAUAUCAAUCCAUUUAAAUUUUACUAAUCUCAACUCAUUUUUAUUUUACUAAUAUCAAUCCAUUUAAAUUUUACUAAUCUCAACUCAUUUUUAUUUUACUAAUCUCAACCCAUUUAAAUCUUACUAAUCUUAGUCCAUUUAAAUCUAUUCAUUUUACUUUUUUUUAUUAUUUAAAAAAAAAGGUUUAAUUUUCUUCAUAUUUAAAUAUCAAUUUCAUCAUAAAAAAAAUNNNNNNNNNNNNNNNNNNNNNNNNNNNNNNNNNNNNNNNNNNNNNNNNNNNNNNNNNNNNNNNNNNNNNNNNNNNNNNNNNNNNNNNNNNNNNNNNNNNNNNNNNNNNNNNNNNNNNNNNNNNNNNNNNNNNNNNNNNNNNNNNNNNNNNNNNNNNNNNNNNNNNNNNNNNNNNNNNNNNNNNNNNNNNNNNNNNNNNNNNNNNNNNNNNNNNNNNNNNNNNNNNNNNNNNNNNNNNNNNNNNNNNNNNNNNNNNNNNNNNNNNNNNNNNNNNNNNNNNNNNNNNNNNNNNNNNNNNNNNNNNNNNNNNNNNNNNNNNNNNNNNNNUUUUUUAUCUUUGAGUUGUUAAAACACAAGUUGUACUACUUGGUGGUUUUGAAACUCAAUUUAAAAAUCGAGAACAAUAAAAUAUUUUUAGAGGAUUAAAUUAGAUGUGAUAUCUUCUUUAUUCCUUGAGUUUUGGGACACAAGUUGUACAACCUGAUUCGUCUUAAAACUCGUAUUUUAAAGUAUUUAUUUCAAAUCAAACUCUUUUAUUUUUCUAUUUUGUCAAAAUAUUUUCUUAUCACAAAAUAAAUUUUCUUUAAAACACACUCAACACAUCCGUUUGUUUUUUAACCAAGAACUACGUAGCUUUGAUUUCUCCAUUGCACCGGGAGAUACGUAGGAGCAAGAUCACAUUCUUGUCGAGCACAUAAAUAAAAAUUUCUUUUUUUGUCCUUUAUUUGUUAAGUACAUAUUUAUUUCAAAAUCAUAUUUUAAAUAUAGUAAUAAUUGUUAUUCAUAUUUAAUAAUAAAGAAAAAUAAAUAUACUUAAGUUAAUAUUAAUUUUGCACAAUUAAUUAUAGAUAACCGUAUUUUAACGGAUGUCGUAGGGUGCUAGUACCUUCCCUACGCAUAAUCGACUCCCGAACUCAAAAUUUGGUUUCAAAGACCACUGUUUUUAUUUUUACUAUUUUAAGGGUUUCCCAAUAUUUUCCCUAUUUUAAAAUAAAUUUUGGUGGCGACUCCAUUGAAUUCAAGAAACACUCGAAAUUUUAGGCCGCGACAAUUUCUAUCAAUUUGUUCUUGAUAUGUGGGAGAUUCUCGAAUAAAAGUGGUGCCACCUAGUACAUCGUUAGGGAAAUCAUCAACAAAAUGAGAAUUAAUAACACGAUGAAUAUUAUUACUUGAACAUUUUUGUUUGUAUCUUUAAUUUUGACAAUGUUUGAAUCAAUGUUUUUAAGGACCUGCUUCUUAACCAACUUCUUCUUUACUAUUGGAAAGUCUUUAUCAAAUAGAGUUUUUACCAACUUCUUUACUGCAUCUUCAACAGAUUGAGUUAUUCCAUUAUCAUUAGAAUAUUUUCGGCAAUUAUCUAUAAAAUGCCCUACAACUUUACAUGAUUCACCAAACAAUGACAGUUUUUUCAUAAUUAAUGUAUACAAAAAAUGCAUACGCUUCACGUUCAACAAUAAUGUGAUCUCCCAACUCUUGUGUCGUGUCUAAAUCGACUAAAGUCGGGCAAAAUGUCUCAACAUUUUUUAAUUUGGUUGCUUCAACAAUAGAUAAAGGAAUGCCAACACUUGGAGUGAUUGUGAAAAUAAUUUUUGACCUCCAAUACUCCUGAGGAAGAUACACUUUGCAAAUCAUUUGAACAAAUAAAGGAAAACUCAUAAAAUCAUUUCCCAAGAGGAAAAACCUGCCAUGAGUCAAUCAGUUUCUAUAUUUUUAAAAGUUUUUCACGUAAAACGAAUAACGCAAUUGGUGUAUCACCUUUAGAUACGGUAACUCUAUCAUGAAGGUUAUUUUUGCAACUCGCCAAACCUAGUUGGUAUUCAUCUUCUAGAAUUUUGAUAGCAAGAAAAGACCAUUUGAUAGUCAGAAAUGCAAAUCAGAAACCAUGAUUAAAUAAAAAAUCCAUAUUCGAAUAUGAACUCGAGAGCAAUGCAAAAGUGGGAAGUUCAAUGUGAGAACAACGUGAAAUCGAGAGCAACAAUAUUAUGUGCGACUUGUGAACUUGAGAGCAACAAGAUAAACAAUGUGACAUCGACACCAUUGGGAGUGUCGGAAUUAGGUGUCAAACACUAAAGAGGAAAAAUCUCAAGAGAAUUCUAUAUUUAGUGACAAAUGUAGUACUUUGUUAAACAAUGAGUGAUUUAUUUGAUAAUUUCACAAAUUAAUAAAGAUGUGUAUAAAUAAAAGAGAGAAAAUUGUAUUUUUAAUAAAUUACUUUGAAUAAAUACAGAUGUAUUCACCAUUACUUUUAAUGCAAAGUGAAAGAUAAUAAAUUGAGAACGAUGUGUGUAGUAUUAAUUAGAUAAUACAACCAAUUCAUCAUAAAUUAAUUAGAAGAAAAAAAAAAUAUUGUUAUCUUGAAAGUUGAAACGGUAAUUUAUUUUUAGUUGAUUUUUUUUUUUUAACAAAUAACUCAUUCACUGUGGGACGAAUAUAGUAUAUAAGUAAUAUAAUUUUUGUUUUUGUUUGUGUCUAGUGCAAAAUAUUAUUUCAUGAUGUACUUUAAGUAAUAUAGGUUUCAAAAUAUAUGUUCCUUACUUCAUAUCUUAUUUUGUUUUUUUUUUAAGGCCAAAGUUAGAAAUAUCAGAAUUUUUUUUCACCAGAGAGUUUAAAUUCAAAUACUCAAAUUCUUUUAACUCUUAGCUCAAACACCCUUAUCUUGCUUUAUCUUAUGAUCAUCUCAAGAAUUAAAUUUGCAAAAUAUUUUGUGAUAAUUCAAUCUUUAUUGUUUAGCAAUGAAAUGUACCCUAAUAGAUAUUUAGAAUUUUCGUACCUCUUAAUUUUCUACUUACUUAUUUUUCUUUUUGUACCUCUUAAUUAUUCGAUGGAUAAUACACGCAGCACAUUUGGAUAAUAUUUUGCAUGAGCCACAAAUUAUGUUCUUUUUUAAAAUUCUUAAAAAUUUCAAUUACAAGGUUCUGAUAACUAUAUGUAGCAUAUGUUACCCCAAUAGAAAGAAACAUUAAGAAAAGGAUUGUGAGAGCAUUCAUUCCUAAUGUCGGCCACCUUUUUGGAUAAAGUUGGGGGAAAUACAUAAAUUGCCGUACAUAAGUGAGAUUAGUCAAUAUCCAUAUAUAGCAAACUCUACAUAUUAUUUGCUUCAUAGGUACCAAAAGUGGUUGUAGUCUAACAUAAAUGAGUGGAUGUGUAUUAUUAAACUUUUUGAGUUACUUGUAUUCCAUAUUCUUGCAACCAGCUUAUGUAAAUUUAUAAGGUGGUCCACAUUACUUGCUUUUAUUUAGUACUGUACGUAGAAUUCAAGUAGAUAGUAGGUAGAAUUAAACGUAUUCAAAAAGACGAGUUAUAUUAAGCUGUGCGUGUUUUGUUAGGUCAUGAGGAGAAUUUAUGAGAUUAUCUAUAUUAUGUGAAGAGCGAUUACACAAAUUAGUGAACUACCACAUCUAAACUAUACAAUAAUUUAUGGGUCCUCUUACUAUCCUUCACUUUUCUAAGUGAUGUAAAAUUUCUAAUUCACAAUAUCUAUGUAAUAAUUUUCCCCUUAAGUGUAAGUUUAUUUCAUUAAUCUAACUAUAUUUUCCUUGAAGCAUAAAUUUUUUCAUUCACAUACAUUUGCAGAGUCGUUGUUGCUACAUCAAUAUGACACAUCGCUUGAAUACUCUUGAUUAAGAAGUCUUUUGAUACAAAGAGUCAGUUCCUUUAGUAACCAUUGACUAUGAUACUACAGUUGGAUCAUGAGGGGUUCCAGAUGACUAUCCACAUUAGACCAAGAGCUACUAUACAAGUGAAUUGAACACUAUAUCUCAACUCGAAACCUUAAGAUAUUGAGUCACCAUAAUAAUAAUAUAUAAACAUUUUUUUGGAAAAAAAAAAGUUAAUUAACAAGUAAAGUUAAUUGAUUACAAAAUUAUUUUAGUUGAAUAAUAACAAUAAAGAGUUAAUCAAUCACCAAAUAAUAAUACGUACAUAUUUUGUUGUGAAAAAAUAAAUUUAGUUGAGUAAUAAAGUAACGAUAUUGAAUUGAAAUAUUAUAUCAUUUAAAUCAUUUACAUAAAAUUUUACAAAAAUUUAAAAUCAUUUGAUAUAUUAUUAAGAUACAUUAAAAUUAUCGUUUUAUGAGUUUUUGUUUAAAUUCAUUAAUUUUUAUGAGUCUCGAUCAUCAAUCAAAUAAUUUUAGAUUUGUGUAAAAUUUUACACGAAUAAUUUAUAUGAUAUAAAUUUUUAAUCAAACAAUAAAUUUUGUAAAAAAAUUAACAGGUAAAAUAUUAUUGAGCAACAUAAAACAAAUUUUUCUUCACUCAAUUUUAUGCUCAGACAUUAUCUCUCCCACUAACUAAAUAUUUUCUAAAUUGGAUGCAAUAAUAUUUAAAAGAAACUAAAUCUAUUGUUUUUAAAUAAAAAUCAUAAUGUUUUAAUUUGUUCAAAAAAGAAACUAAAACAAAACAUUAACUAAAUAUAUUGAUCCAACAAUUGUCUUUAAAUUUUAAAUGUAAAUAAAUAACCACCAUCAAAUAAUUAAAAAAAUUUCUGACUAUGCCAACUUUUAUGAAUACAUAUUUUUAGUAUUAUUUGACAUUUGUCCGUACAAUCCUCUUUUAAGUCUUUAUUCGGAACAAAAGAAAGAAAUUGAAAAUAAAAAACAAGAAAUAAAACACAUAAUAACUCAAUUUUUUCAUUGUUUUAGUUCUCAAUUAGGGUAGAAAGGAAAGAAAAAAAUUGAUGUAGGACACACCAAAAUUUUAGUCUUUUUGUAAAUGUGGAAGAAAAAGUUGCAUGAAAACUAAAUAAGGUCUCUUUGUUUUCAAUUUUUCCUUUCUCUUGUACUUUUUUAAAGGUUAUUUGAGUCAUUGUGUAAUUUUUUCCUUUCACUUUCUACACAACCAAGCAAGAGAAGAGAAUAUCUCAGGCUUUCUUUCCUUUUAUUUUCUCUUGAAACAAACAACCAAAAAUAUAAUAUACUUUUCCUCUCUUCUUUUAUUCUACUUUUCUUUUUCUUAUUUUUCUUUCCUCACACUUUCUUUUUUAAAAAAGAACUGUUCCUACAAUCAGAUUGAUAAUCCAUUAUUCAGAAUGAAUAAACUUUGUAGAUUUACAAUAUAAUAGUUUGAACUUGUAUUUUAAACAUAUUCAAGAUACAAAGUUUAAAUCUUAUUGGAGAUGGUUAUAAAAUAAUUAUUAAUAUUACUUUAAUUAAUAAUAAUUUUUCAUCUGUCAUUUAAAAAUUAAUCCAAUAAUACAUCUUUUUAUGGAAAAUCAUAUUAAACAUUAACUUUAGUAACUAUAUCUAAUUUAAUAAUUAAUAUUUUUUAUUGAACUCAUAAUUAACAUUAUUUUUUGUUAUAAAAGAAUUAAACGGAUUGUUGAUUUUUAAAUUCAUUACUUCGUCCCCAAUGGAGAUCGUUAACCCAAUAAACACGAGUACUAAAUAGGAACAUUCAUUGAAGACAAAUAUAAGAUAUUAGAGAUAGUGUCUUUAAUAAGACGUCUCUCUCUCCCCUCUCUCUUUCAUAGAAGGAUCCACAUAUUUUUUAUAUAUUAAAACAAAGAUUUAAUUACAAUUUUAAUUUACUUCUUCUAUUUUUAUUAAUUCUUAGAAUUAGUUUAUAAUUUUAAAAUCUAAAAAUUUUAACUAUCAAUUUAUAUUUUCUUUUUUUGGUUAAAAAUAUUAUAAUUUAAUAUACUUUAAAUAAAGUGACAUACGAUACGUUAUGUAAAAUCAUCUGAAAGUAAUAAUUAUUUAUAUUAUUAAUUAAAUUACAAAAAUAAAUCAUUUUUGAAGUUGAAAUUAAAAUUUUUAGAUUGUCUUAUUAUAAUUUUAUGGUUUAACGUCACUGUAUUAUAUGUUACGUUAUUUAAAAUAUGACACAUCAUAAUUUUUUAGUUGAAAAAUUCAAACGAGGAACUACAUUUGUUGAGUUUUAAAAUUGAGGAAUCAAUUCUAAGAAUUGGUGAAAAUAAAAAAAAAUCAAAAUCGCAAUUAAGUCUAAAAUAAAUUAAUGUUGUUAAAAUGCAAUGAUAUAAAAUUAUUAAUGUGAUCCAUUUGAUUUUUUUAAUUGCUAAAUUAUAGAGAAUAACUAUUAAGUAAGUGCUAAUAUUAAAAAUUUAUAAAAUAGUCCAUAAAUCUUAGAUCAACUAACAAAUAUCGAUAUUAUUAAGUUGAACAUCAUGUUCUUGAUUCGAACUCAGAGUCUCGCAGUUGUGUGAGUUUUUUUUAGUAAUUUUACCAUCAGAGAUAUUCAUAUUCGAGACAUGUCGAAAACAAAAUAUUCGUACUUCCUAAUGUAAAACUAUUUUACACCAAUAUCAAAUAACUACUUAUUACUUUGCCAUGUUACUCCACAUUUUUAUAGUUAUUUUGGAACUUAUCAUGUGACAUGGAGAUAUAGUGACCUUUAAUAAAUGUCAAUGUAAAAUUAUUUACAUUGACAGUUUGAAAAUUGGAUUUCAUACCCCCACACUUUGACCCCUACCCCCACAAUUUUAAAAAAAAUCAAAUUUAUCAUUAUCAUUUUCAUCUCUUUUCAUUGAAAUUUUUUGGAUCCUUUUUACCCCACAUAAAUAUAAAAUUUCCGUUAUAUAAUUUUAUUUUACAAAAUCCAAUUUAAAAAAAUCAGCGUAUGACAUAUUUGAAAUUUUUUAUAUGUAAAAAAAAUAUUACAUACUAGAAAUUCUAUUUUCGAAAUUUGCAUGCCAAAAAUUUCGAAAACAAAUUUUAUUGUAAAACAAAAUUUUGCAUACGAAAAAUUUCGGAUAUGUAAACAAGAUUGAGAAAAAAAUUCUCAUACAGGAAAUUUAAAAAACUAAAAAUUUGUGAUAUAAAAAAAAUUUAACAUAUUAGAAAUUUCACUCAAAAUUUUUGGUAUGUAAAAUAAUGGAAGAAAAAUUUGACAUACUGAAAAUUGAAAAAAAUAAUAUUAUUAGUCUAUAAAAAAAUAUAUAUAAAAAAACAAAUAUAAAUGUGGAUAGAAAAAAUAGAGUAAUUUUGUUUAUUUUUAUUUUUUAUAAAAUAUUUUUUAAAAUAUAUAUAUAUAUAAAAGGAUAGAAGUUAAAAUGUGAAGUAUAUAAUGAAAUUCUCUGACAAUGUACGGUGAUUGCACUCGUAAUCUAUACCCAUUAAACUCGCUUAAUUACUCAAAUGAAAUGUGUUUACUAGAAGGGUUUUAUCUGCAUAAUCCUAAAUCCAUAAUGAACGGACAUUUUUCGGUCUUGUCUAAAUCACAGUGAUUUUCGUAAUUUAAGAUAAAUAAAGGAAUUAAUUCCGAAACAGUACUUUAAAGAAAUCAGGUCGGGGAAUAAAGCGGGGAAAACAGUAUCAAUAUUUGUUGGAACUCUAAAUGUACUCAUAUUUAAAUUUUGAUGUGUGAUAUAGUUGGUGUAUUAAAAUUAAACCCAAUUUAGAAUUUAGAAUAUCGCAAACAUAAACUUUGAUUCUAUCCCAAAAAACAAUUAAGAAAGGAGGGUAAUGUAACACGUGUUAGCAAAGGAGAGGUAGAAAUUAAAAUUAAGCAUGAGAAUAUACAUAAAUUCUGUUUGGCUGGAUAUCAAUAAGGAUGGGUAUUGGAGAGUGGUGGUUCGUUUUGUACAGCAAAUAUAUGACCAAAAAAGUAUAAUCUUAUUGCAACCGCUGCUCUCGCCAUCGACAAGGUUUCGAAGGUUCCAAUUUGGGACGGCUAAAAUUAAAUUUGACAUUAGGACUAUUAUAAUUUUUAUUUUAUUAAUUGUUUUUGGUUUGAGUUUAAUUUUUGCUCGAUGUAAAAACUUGUCCAUAAUAAUUCACCAUUUAUAUGAUUUUAGAUAUAGUUAUAUUAUAAUAAAAAGUUAUGUAUGGUUGUAUAUAUUAAUAAUAUAUAUAAAUUUAAUCUAUUUAAUUUUUUAAAAAUUAUUGAAAGUUAAAAUAUUUAUUUAAUUUGUAAAACAUUCUUAAGAAAUCAAUUUAGUAUGACGCGAUUGAUAAAUAGAUGAGUCUCUUAAAUAGUAGUUAUAGAUUUAAUCAUUUGUAGCUAUUUAUGGAAUAAUAUUUAUUGUUUAUGGAAUAAUAUUUACAAGAAAAAAUAAUUUAAAUCUACUUUUUAUUUUUUUAAAAAUAAAAGUUUCUAUAUUUUUUUGAAUUAAUUUAAUAAACUGAUUUGUUUUAAAUAUAUAGUUCAAUUCAUAAAUCAUUUAAAUAAUUUAAUUUUUUAAUACAGUAUAAUCUAAUUUAUCAAUAUAGUUUAAUUAACCAUCAUUUAAAACUUAAAAAAAAUGUGCACGAGAAUAAAAUAAUUUUUUUGCUCAUUAUUGAAACAUGCAAGACAUCUUAGUAAACCAUCUUUGAAUAUACAACUAGUAACUAAGUAAUUAUUAAUUAUAGUUAAAACUUGCAAGACAUCCUAGUAAUCAAACUCUCCAAUGGAUGCUCCAUAUUGAUUGGAGUGAAAUACAAUGUCUUAAUCAAUUUGUCUAUGAUCACCCUAAUUGCAUCCAUCCUGCAAGAUUUUUCAUGAGUCUCAACAUAAAAUCCAUCGGAAUAUUCUAUUCACUUCAAACAAGUAUAUUCAAUUGUUUCAAAUAUUUUGACGUUUGUCUGGUACUCAACCUUCAACUUUUAACAAAUUAAACAAGCAUACAAAAACUGUAUCACAUUAUUCUCUAUUCAUGUCCACCAAAACACCAUCUUUUAGUAUUUGAGGUUGCAUAUCUUUAAUAAAAUUAAAGAAGAGGUUGUUCCGUUGAGUAGACUUAGAUAUUUGAACUCUUCUAUUAGUUGCAUAUCUUUAAUUGUUAUGAUUGAAUAAUGAAAUGCAUUUUUCUCAAACAUUUGCCAUUAUAUUCUCCUUUCCAUGAAGACAUUACUCUAUACUUAUAGUGACCGUAACACACCACAAAAGUUGUCUUCUAAAUAUUGAUAUGAUUAUAUAUUGACUUGAAAUUGCCCUUUUGAUUGGUAGUUAAUUAGUUGCUCUACAUACACAAAGCUCAUUGUAAUAUGAAUCCAUUUGAGUCUAAUUUUCUCUCAAAGUUUCCCUCUCUCUAGAGAUCUCGGUUUACUAACAGACAACUUUAAAAUUUUGGUUGAAAUUAAGAAAAUUAAAUUAGUGUCCUAUUAUUUGAAAUUGUAAAGGAAGAUGGAGAUUAAAGUUAUAUAUAUAACUCUAAUUUUUCAUUAUAAUUAGUAUAUGUCAUUUACACUUUGUUUGUUUAUGAUUUUUUUUAAAUUUUAUUUUACAAUUUUCUAUUAGAGUUUUGUGAUAUAUAACCUAAAUAUCUGCUUAUGAGAGUGUCAGAGUCUUCUACCGGAGACCAGAAGAGUAUGCAAAAAAUUAAUAUGUUGUAAUAAUUUUCACAUCGUAUUAUUCUAUGAUUAUUAUUUGACAAUAAUUGCGAUUUUUUCUCUAAUCUUAAAAUUUUAAAUUAUAAUUCAGGAUUUUAAUUGCUAUUUAAAUUUAUCUCUUUGUAUAUUUUCUUAACAACAGCAUACAAAGAAAAUGCGAAAGAUUCUAAUACGACCAAACGACAAGUUAUGAUAUUAUUAAAGGAGCAAAUUGUAAAGGAGAAAGAAAUAGUAUUUCUUAACCAUAUUAUAUAAUCCAUUAAAAUGGACAUAUAUGUAAUGGAAUACUCGAAAAAUAUUCUAGCAUAUAAUAAAAUUGGUUGUCUUUGUUUGUGUACCACCAUAAUGUAUGAUCCAAUCAAUGAGAUAAUGGAAGAAGAUCUUGGUGUGAUGGGAAUAAUGUUGCGUUAAAGAGCCCUUUAUCACAGAAAGCAACACUUGUUGGCACCGAAUAUCUCCCUUUCCUUUUACCCCUACGCUUUUUUCCUAUCUUAAUCACUCACACAUACCUUUUCCUUCUCUCUCUCUCUCUCUCUCUCUCUCUCUCUCUCUCUCUCUCUCUCUCUCUCUCUUUUUUAUCAAAUUUAAUUAGCUUCUCAUAAAGAAAUCGGAAUGUCAGGAUGACGUAUAUAUGUUUAAUUAAUCUCUUUCGGUUUCAAAGAUAAAUACGAAUUUUUUAAGAAACCUUCAUUAAUUAUUCUUAUUUUAUAUUUCUCAUUUUUUAUUGAGUUAAAAAUCAAAAUAACAUAAUCUUAUACUUUCAAUGACUUAAAAAUAAUUACUCUUAAUUAAUUUUAUUAUUUUGUAAAAUGACCCAUUCUAUUUCAAAUUAAUGGUCGAUAUCGUUUAACCGCAAACAAUUUUGGUGCUGCCUCAACCAUUACAUAUGGUACAAUAAAUAAUUUUUUUUUGGAGUAAAUCCUAAUUAACAGUUUAGAGAAUGAAAUUAAACAUGUAUGAAAAGAUUAAUUAAAGGAAUUCAAGUUCAUCCGAAAUACUAAAUACGCCUUUAAACCUACUGUGAAUGUCCCAACAUAUUAUAACCCAUCAUACUAAUCUUACAUUUGAUUAUUUCGCUUUGUUUGAAAAUGUAGUACCCUAAUUUUGUCCAAUUUAUUAAAAAUAAAUCAAAAAAAGAAAAUAUGUAUUUUAAAAAGGAAUUAAAAAUAAUUACAAUAAAUAAUUUUAUUAUGUAUCAUAAAUUUACAUUUUUAUCUAAUUAGAGUUUUAAAACCAAAUCAAAUUACAAACUAAGAAUAAAGCCAAAAAUAAAUUACAAUAAAAAUCAAAUCAGAUCAAGCCAUGCUAUGUUGACUUUGUUCACUGCCAAACCCUGCNNNNNNNNNNNNNNNNNNNNNNNNNNNNNNNNNNNNNNNNNNNNNNNNNNNNNNNNNNNNNNNNNNNNNNNNNNNNNNNNNNNNNNNNNNNNNNNNNNNNNNNNNNNNNNNNNNNNNNNNNNNNNNNNNNNNNNNNNNNNNNNNNNNNNNNNNNNNNNNNNNUUAAAGCUCAGCAACAGAACAGAUCAAAACAAAUAAAUCAAAAUCAUGAAUGCAUCAGAGGUGUAGAAAAAAACGCAGAUGAUGAGCAAAGGAAAAAAAACAUCAAACAGGAAAUAGAUAGAGAAGGACCAAUGCAGAUCAGAAAGCAACUAAACAGAUAAAAAACUCUAUAAAUACACCUUAUCAAAAUUAUUAGGGGGGAUCUGAGAAAAACACACUAUUGAUAUUAAAAAAUCACAUCUAAAGAAGAGAGUUUUAGUUUUUUUUCGAAAAAAAUAAGUAAGAAAAAGAGAAAUUUUUUAGAAUAUGAGAGAUUCUGAAAUAGAAAGCAAGAGACAGAGAAUAUUACCGUCACUCUAGCUUCCACCGGUAACCGCCGUCAACCGCCAUCAACCGUUACACCCGCCAUCUUCUUCUUCACCACUAUAUACAAAUCUGUGUCUCUCAAGUUAGUCUUUGUUCUUCAUCUCUUUUAAUAUAGUGUUUCAUUUGUUUUGUAGUUUAUUUGGUGAAGCUUUAGUUUCAUUGCUCCAUNN
RNAcentral lists this long non-coding RNA (13751 nucleotides) under Cicer arietinum (chickpea). Its description in RNAcentral is "long non-coding RNA (CARI_LNC001945)". Lineage: Eukaryota; Viridiplantae; Streptophyta; Magnoliopsida; Fabales; Fabaceae. The record is from RNAcentral.